Molecule: long non-coding RNA, 4216 nt
Organism: Oncorhynchus tshawytscha (Chinook salmon)
Lineage: Eukaryota; Metazoa; Chordata; Actinopteri; Salmoniformes; Salmonidae
Source: Ensembl
GCGAGUCUUCGCAUCUAAAUUGUGUGUAAUUGUUUAUUUCAUCAUGUUAGCCAUGCCUAUGUGUUUCAGUGUCUGUGACUGCCAUGUGGGUAUUACAACACUUCCACUUGAAACACCUAGUGAACAGCUCACACUUCCUUGUUUCCUAAUGUCUACAGAUGAUCUGCUCUGAUUCAAAACGAGUCACAAAAAAACUGUCACACACACUUAUCACCCUCUUCAACACAUUUUAGAUCUCCCUCUCCAGCACAGUGAUUUCAUCUAGUCUCCAUUCAUCAUGGCACAGAGGAAAGGAAUAUAACAUCCCAUACACACUAACCAUCAUCUCAGAAUCUCCAAAGGGUAAAACUUCCAAUACACACAGUGGUAAUAAGAUCAAAUGAGUUGAAGGUACUAUGUCGUCUGUAAUACAACCAUGGCUUAAUUAAAGAACUUUAUCUACUUGGAUGAUACUGCCAUCCGGAAUCUAUUCCCUGGAAGUGCAAUAUGUAUUCAACCAUUAUUGGGGGGAAAUCUAAGUUCAAUAGAAAAGUGGUUCUUGAUCAUUAAAAUCCAAGUGCCUGUCACACACUAUAGGGCCAAACCGAGCCAAGUCAAGCGAGCCAAGCCGAGCUGUACUGAAUUGUCCCUAUUUUGUGAAUCAGGCACAUUGUUCUGGCAUUGCAGCCUUCAUAAGUAUACUUGCUGUAGUAGGCCUAUGGCAGGGAUGCAGAGUGUGUCAAUCACUGACUAAUGUGGUUUCUUUGUAUCCAUACUGCUUCCUAUUCAGGGGUACAGGCUUUGUUAAGGGAUCAAGGAAACAGCCUGAACUUUGACCCCUACUCACAUAACAAGAAAACAGCAAAGUUUCCACUUUUCUCCCAAAUAGACCAUUAAAAAGCCUUCAGCUCAUACUUAUCAGGAUUAUCUACUCACAGUGUAGUCAAUGUAUUCAAUACUGGGAGAUAGUCAGUCACAAGUAAAAUGUGAGAUGAGGUCAAUUCAAUACUAAACUAUUCUAAAGUAAUCAAAUGAAGUUUGCUAUGUAUGUAUACAACCUAAUUCUGGUUUAUACAACUCAUUAUCUGAAUUAUAACAAGUCUAUAAUAAUUUAAGUGGAAUCAUUUAGGACAAUAUGCUAUGAAGUAAAAUAAUAUUAGGCUAACUUACUGAAAGCAGUAGGCCUAUUAUACUGUUCAUGACAACAAUAAAACGGGUAGGCCUAAAUUCGCCAAUAACAAAAACGUCAAAUAUCCUACACAUUUAUAAGGUUUAAAAACAUAAUUUUAGUGAUAAAAUAUAGCCUAGGAUAUUUUAGUGAGCCUGAAUAAUCGUUCUACAUUUACUAGUUGCAUUUGGUGAUCGCCAUUUGCAAUCAUAGCGUUAUUGUCCAAAUAGGCCUGCAUGGUUCAUCCCUUCAGCGCUUGCAAGAAAAAUGUCUUUCAAAAAAGUCACAAAAGUCACCCAACUCGAGAUAGCUUUGCUCUUGUUUUCUAUGGGCUAUAGGAUAUAUUAAUGUAUUUUUUGCCAAAUUACUACAGAAAUAUAUCAUAUUAUGCUAUUUGAAUAAUCUAUUGUACAUUAUAACAACAGAAAAUCAAGUUAUUAAGUGCUAUAAGCCUAUUGUAUAAUCAAUACCUGCGGAACAGGUCUAGUCUAAGUUUGUCAGUAAUCAAAAUAAAACAAACCAUUGGCCUAAUGCAUGUUGCCUAAUUGCGUUCAAAUUAUCAUGGAAAAGAAAAAACAUGAAAAGAUUCAAAAUACAACUUAUAAAUCGAAUCAAGAACAAAAAGAGCAUAAUUAAUUACAAAAAUAUAUUGCAAGUGAGACGUUGCACGCAUAUAUCCGAAAUGUAGGCUAUAUUCUGAAGGACGAAUGUGAAUACUGUGCUUCUCUCUGUUCUAUCGUGACAACUUGCUAGUAACGUUAACUUUACAGAAAUGAUUACAGACCCAUAAGGGUAAACCCUGAGAAUAGUUUGGGUGUACUUAAUCCAAUGGCCAAAAAAUAAGUUUACUUAUAUUAAAUAUUACGCAUUGUAACUAUUUGUUUCAUGUUACGGGUUUGCCAGAGACACUCUCCCAUUUAAAAAAAUGUUUUUGCCGUAUAGGUAGCUUUACCUCAGACUCAAAGUUUCGUGGCCUUCAAAUGAAAUAUAACUCAUUACCAUUUGCAACUGAAGAUAGUGAACAAUAAUCAAGCUAACACUUUUUUUUGUAGAAUCAGAGCAACAUAUGUGUGAAAUUUAUUUAAAUUGUAAUUCAGCCCAAUAUCAGAACCUCUCUCUAGCAGAAAUGCAUUUCGUAAAUUAUACAAUAGCAGUUGCGCGUCAGUCUUUUAAAAUAUUCAAAUUAUUCACAAUUUACAAUAAUUAUUACAAUAAGAAGAGAUAAUUAUGAUCAUGAAUAGACAGUGUAAACGGAAAUGUUUACAAUCUCUUAGGGAAUUAUUAAAUGGGGAAAAUAUCAAUCUUUAAAUCCAUCUUUCAUGAUUCUGGAAAACAUGUUCGUAUUUUUCAAUAACUUACAGUGAACCAAAAAUAAUUCGAUUAUAGUUAAGCAAAUGUGUUCAUUAAUUUGGUUGGCAUCGCCCUCAACCACAAGUGUGGUUAAUAAAAAAAUUACAAAAUGAUAACACAACAACCAGUAUCUGAACUCAUAUCCUGUUCGUAAGAGAGUGUAUACUCCAAAAGGGGAAAGGAUAGGCUAAUUUACUUUUAAUUUACAAGAACACCAUAAACAUUCUGAACAAAAUGCAGGUAGUUCAGUGAUCAUUUAAAAAAUAAGUAAAUAUUUGGUUAUGGAUUUUUGUAUUCUGUCUGCAGUUUCCAUAGUCAUAUAAAUAAUCUAUAUAUGCGUUAAUGGAACCGUUCCGUUCACCCCAGCCGUCGCACUCUGGUAAUGCUGCGGCAAUGCGUGGAGUCUACUUUGCACCGACGGGUCCCCGGGCUCUCCGGUCGGUAAAUACAUGCUUAUCAUCUCUCUCAAGUCUCCGGGGCAAGGGCCCCUGGAGUGAGUGCUAACGGGAGGGCUUACGCUCGGCUCUGACUUCACCAGCGACCCUAACGUGCCCAUGGCAGCCGAGGAGGAGACGCCAGAGCUCUGGUGCUGCGUGUAGGUGAUCCCGCCAUAGCCGGACGGAGAUGCGCUCAUGUAGCCCUCAGAGUUCGAGAUGGGGCUGUACUGGAGUGCCGACAUGUCGUAGCGGUGCAUGGGCUGGGGGUUGUGCGGGUGGUGGUGGUGGUGUGAGUGGUGGUGAUGCCCGCUGCCCGGGUGCUGGCUGUAAGCUAGCUGCGCCUCUUGCAUCAUCGCCGCCGCCGCAGCAGCUGCAGCCAUCUGCCCCGAGUACGCACCGUUCGCCCAGCCAUUCAUGUGAGCGUAGCCUGAGCUGGCGGAGCCCCCGUGGCCCCCGGUGCUCUCUAACCUCUGGCCGACGCCGGAUGAACCCAUCCCGACACCCAGACCCAUUCCACCGCCGCCGGCCCCAGAGAGCAGGCCACCGGCCAGAGAGUAUUUGUCCUUUUUCAGCAGCGUCUUGGUCUUCCGUCUCGGUCUGUACUUGUAAUCCGGGUGUUCCUUCAUGUGCAUUGCUCGUAACCGCUUCGCUUCGUCGAUGAAGGGUCUCUUCUCCGCCUCGGACAUGACCUUCCACUCGGCUCCCAGCCGCUUGCUGAUCUCAGAGUUGUGCAUCUUGGGGUUUUCCUGGGCCAUCUUUCUCCGCUGCCCGCGGGACCACACCAUGAACGCGUUCAUCGGACGCUUCACCCGGUCCUGAUUCGCUUUGGACCCACUGUUCGGCCCCGUUUGCCCCAAAUGUGUGUUCGUUUGGGGUCCAGGGGACUGGAGGUCCGUCUCCAUCAUCAUGCUAUACAUUCACCUUGUUUUCAAACUUUCAACCAACAGAUGAAACAAAGUCUGGUUCAGUCGGCGCGCGAGUCCGGCAGAGCAGGUGCACACGAGGGAACGACAAUCCUACACCACAAAAAUAAUUAAAUGCCAACUUAAUUAAUAAUCCAAUACAUAGAGUGUCAGAGAAAUGUUCUCCCCGUGGAUGCUUUAUCUCCUCUUCGGUUGUUGGUUCACAUCCACGCUGACAGAAGGCGCAUUUGAGCCACUUUCCCUGUCGGAGUUGAGAAGUUAGUUAAAGCGGCAGCCAUAUGAAGCGCCUUGACAGCGGUUAAAUGAGCAACGAGCGGCCAAUAGCGUUCUAGAAGCAAAGCGAUUUGCAUGGCACUCAG